GACGAACGCUGGCGGCGUGCUUAACACAUGCAAGUCGAACGGAAAGGCCCUGCUUUUGUGGGGUGCUCGAGUGGCGAACGGGUGAGUAACACGUGAGUAACCUGCCCUUGACUUUGGGAUAACUUCAGGAAACUGGGGCUAAUACCGGAUAGGAGCUCCUGCUGCAUGGUGGGGGUUGGAAAGUUUCGGCGGUUGGGGAUGGACUCGCGGCUUAUCAGCUUGUUGGUGGGGUAGUGGCUUACCAAGGCUUUGACGGGUAGCCGGCCUGAGAGGGUGACCGGCCACAAUGGGACUGAGAUACGGCCCAGACUGCUACGGGAGGCAGCAGUGGGGAAUAUUGCACAAUGGGCGGAAGCCUGAUGCAGCAACGCCGCGUGCGGGAUGACGGCCUUCGGGUUGUAAACCGCUGUCGCCUGUGACGAAGCGUGAGUGACGGUAAUGGGUAAAGAAGCACCGGCUAACUACGUG
RNAcentral lists this ribosomal RNA (468 nucleotides) under uncultured bacterium. RNAcentral describes it as "partial 16S ribosomal RNA". It matches the Rfam family "Bacterial small subunit ribosomal RNA", at positions 28 to 507 of the family's 1533-position model. The record is from RNAcentral.